RNAcentral lists this ribosomal RNA (1433 nucleotides) under uncultured organism. RNAcentral's name for it is "SSU rRNA". It matches the Rfam family "Bacterial small subunit ribosomal RNA". The record is from RNAcentral.
CUUAACACAUGCAAGUCGAGGGGCAGCAUGGUCUUAGCUUGCUAAGGCCGAUGGCGACCGGCGCACGGGUGAGUAACGCGUAUCCAACCUGCCUUACACUCUUGGACAGCCUUCUGAAAGGGAGAUUAAUACAAGAUGUUAUCAUGAGUAAGCAUUUUCGCAUGAUUAAAGGUUUACCGGUGUAAGAUGGGGAUGCGUUCCAUUAGAUAGUAGGCGGGGUAACGGCCCACCUAGUCUUCGAUGGAUAGGGGUUCUGAGAGGAAGGUCCCCCACAUUGGAACUGAGACACGGUCCAAACUCCUACGGGAGGCAGCAGUGAGGAAUAUUGGUCAAUGGACGAGAGUCUGAACCAGCCAAGUAGCGUGAAGGAUGAAGGUUCUAUGGAUUGUAAACUUCUUUUAUACGGGAAUAAACGGAUCCACGUGUGGAUUUUUGCAUGUACCGUAUGAAUAAGGAUCGGCUAACUCCGUGCCAGCAGCCGCGGUAAUACGGAGGAUCCGAGCGUUAUCCGGAUUUAUUGGGUUUAAAGGGAGCGUAGAUGGGUUGUUAAGUCAGUUGUGAAAGUUUGCGGCUCAACCGUAAAAUUGCAAUUGAUACUGGCAGUCUUGAGUACAGUUGAGGUAGGCGGAAUUCGUGGUGUAGCGGUGAAAUGCUUAGAUAUCACGAAGAACUCCGAUUGCGAAGGCAGCUUACUAACCUGUAACUGACAUUGAUGCUCGAAAGUGUGGGUAUCAAACAGGAUUAGAUACCCUGGUAGUCCACACGGUAAACGAUGAAUACUCGCUGUAGGCGAUAUACAGUCUGCGGCCAAGCGAAAGCAUUAAGUAUUCCACCUGGGGAGUACGCCGGCAACGGUGAAACUCAAAGGAAUUGACGGGGGCCCGCACAAGCGGAGGAACAUGUGGUUUAAUUCGAUGAUACGCGAGGAACCUUACCCGGGCUUAAAUUGCAACCGAAUAUGGCGGAAACGCUAUAGCUAGCAAUAGCGGUUGUGAAGGUGCUGCAUGGUUGUCGUCAGCUCGUGCCGUGAGGUGUCGGCUUAAGUGCCAUAACGAGCGCAACCCUUGCCGAUAGUUACUAACAGGUCAUGCUGAGGACUCUGUCGGGACUGCCAUCGUAAGAUGUGAGGAAGGUGGGGAUGACGUCAAAUCAGCACGGCCCUUACGUCCGGGGCUACACACGUGUUACAAUGGGGGGUACAGAGGGCUGCUACCACGCAAGUGGAUGCCAAUCCCAAAAACCUCUCUCAGUUCGGAUUGAAGUCUGCAACCCGACUUCAUGAAGCUGGAUUCGCUAGUAAUCGCGCAUCAGCCACGGCGCGGUGAAUACGUUCCCGGGCCUUGUACACACCGCCCGUCAAGCCAUGGGAGCCGGGGGUACCUGAAGUGCGUAACCGCAAGGAGCGCCCUAGGGUAAAACUGGUGACUGGGGCU